Molecule: transfer RNA, 75 nt
Filed under: candidate division WWE3 bacterium RIFCSPHIGHO2_01_FULL_40_23
Lineage: Bacteria; candidate division WWE3
Also listed under: 1 other name
Description: tRNA-Asn
Rfam family: tRNA
About the family: Transfer RNA (tRNA) molecules are approximately 80 nucleotides in length. Their secondary structure includes four short double-helical elements and three loops (D, anti-codon, and T loops). Further hydrogen bonds mediate the characteristic L-shaped molecular structure. tRNAs have two regions of fundamental functional importance: the anti-codon, which is responsible for specific mRNA codon recognition, and the 3' end, to which the tRNAs corresponding amino acid is attached (by aminoacyl-tRNA synthetases). tRNAs cope with the degeneracy of the genetic code in two manners: having more than one tRNA (with a specific anti-codon) for a particular amino acid; and 'wobble' base-pairing, i.e. permitting non-standard base-pairing at the 3rd anti-codon position.
Source: RNAcentral
GCCCCCGUAGCUUAAAGGCAUAGAGCAAUCCGCGGUUAACGGAUGAAGUGGAUGGUUCAAAUCCUCCCGGGGGCG